GAUGAACGCUGGCGGCGUGCUUAACACAUGCAAGUCGAACGGAAAGGCCCAAGCUUGCUUGGGUACUCGAGUGGCGAACGGGUGAGUAACACGUGGGUGAUCUGCCCUGCACUUCGGGAUAAGCCUGGGAAACUGGGUCUAAUACCGGAUAGGACCACUUCUUGGAUGUUGUGGUGGAAAGUUUUUUCGGUGUGGGAUGAGCUCGCGGCCUAUCAGCUUGUUGGUGGGGUAAUGGCCUACCAAGGCGUCGACGGGUAGCCGGCCUAAGAGGGUGUACGGCCACAUUGGGACUGAGAUACGGCCCAGACUCCUACGGGAGGCAGCAGUGGGGAAUAUUGCACAAUGGGCGCAAGCCUGAUGCAGCGACGCCGCGUGGGGGAUGACGGCCUUCGGGUUGUAAACUCCUUUCGCUAGGGACGAAGCGUUUUUGUGACGGUACCUGGAGAAGAAGCACCGGCUAACUACGUG
This 468-nucleotide ribosomal RNA is filed under the name uncultured bacterium. Its description in RNAcentral is "partial 16S ribosomal RNA". It matches the Rfam family "Bacterial small subunit ribosomal RNA", at positions 28 to 507 of the family's 1533-position model. The record is from RNAcentral.